Molecule: ribosomal RNA, 516 nt
Filed under: uncultured bacterium
Lineage: Bacteria
Description: bacterial SSU rRNA
Rfam family: Bacterial small subunit ribosomal RNA
Source: RNAcentral
AGAGUUUGAUCCUGGCUCAGGAUGAACGCUGGCGGCGUGCUUAACACAUGCAAGUCGAGCGAAAAUAAUUGAGAGCUUGCUUUUGAUUAUUUUAGCGGCGGACGGGUGAGUAACGUGUGGGUAACCUGCCUUUUACUGUGGAAUAAUCGUUGGAAACGACGACUAAUACCGCAUACGAUUUUCUGAAGGCAUCUUCGGAAAAAGAAAGGAAAUAUUCGGUAAAAGAUGGGCCCGCAUCUGAUUAGCUAGUUGGUGAGAUAAUAGCCCACCAAGGCAACGAUCAGUAGCCGACCUGAGAGGGUGACCGGCCACAUUGGGACUGAGACACGGCCCAAACUCCUACGGGAGGCAGCAGUGGGGAAUAUUGCACAAUGGGCGAAAGCCUGAUGCAGCAACGCCGCGUGAAGGAAGACGGUUUUCGGAUUGUAAACUUCUAUCAAUAGGGAAGAAAGAAAUGACGGUACCUAAAUAAGAAGCCCCGGCUAACUACGUGCCAGCAGCCGCGGUAAUACGUAG